AAGAUUGCCCAUGCCCUCAGAGCUCCUCCGGACCAGCCAAGUCAUGCUCCUCUGGGGACCGGCCUCAGCAUCCCCUCGACGGCCUGGAGGGACCACAGCCCCGGCCAGAGGCGCAGGGCAGAGGACAUCCCUUCCGGAGGUUCUGCGGCGGAGGGCUGCCGACCUCUCCCCACGCGCCAGGUCACCUGCUCUGGGAGAAGCCAGUUGCCAUGUUGUAAGGACACUCAAGCAGCCCAUGGAAUGACUCACAUGCUGAAGAACUGAGCCCUCCCUCCUUCCAACAGCCAGGGAGGAACUAGGGCUUCUUGCCAAUAACCAUGUGAAGAAGCUUGGAAAUGGAUUCUCCCCCAAAUGAGUCUUCAGAUUACUUUAGACUAACAUCUUGACUGCAACCUCUAGAAAGACCCUGAGCCAGGAUCACCAAGCUCACAGAAGCUAAGAGUUAAUAAAUGUUUGAAUUAA
Molecule: long non-coding RNA, 462 nt
Filed under: Homo sapiens (human)
Lineage: Eukaryota; Metazoa; Chordata; Mammalia; Primates; Hominidae
Description: C2orf74 antisense RNA 1, transcript variant 5 (C2orf74-AS1)
Source: RNAcentral